This 111-nucleotide ribosomal RNA is filed under the name Triticum aestivum (bread wheat). Lineage: Eukaryota; Viridiplantae; Streptophyta; Magnoliopsida; Poales; Poaceae. The record is from RNAcentral.
GGAUGCGAUCAUACCAGCACUAAAGCACCGGAUCCCAUCAGAACUCCGAAGUUAAGCGUGCUUGGGCGAGAGUGAUGGGUGACCUCCUGGGAAGUCCUGGUGUUGCAUUCC